AGUGAAGCGGCAACAGCUCAAAUUUGAAAUCUGGCCCCGUCGGGGUCCGAGUUGUAAUUUGUAGAGAGUGUUUCGGGUGAGGCCACGGUCUAAGUCCAUUGGAACAUGGCGUCACAGAGGGUGAGAAUCCCGUAUGUGACUGUGGUCCGAGCCCAUGUGAAGCCUCUUCGACGAGUCGAGUUGUUUGGGAAUGCAGCUCAAAAUGGGUGGUAAAUUUCAUCUAAAGCUAAAUACUGGCUGGAGACCGAUAGCGCACAAGUAGAGUGAUCGAAAGAUGAAAAGCACUUUGGAAAGAGAGUCAAAAAGUACGUGAAAUUGUUGAAAGGGAAGCGCUUGCAACCAGACCUGUCCGUAGGCGAUCAGCCGCUGUUCUCAGCGGUGCACUCGCUCUGCGAUCAGGCCAGCAUCGGUUUCGGCGGUCGGAUAAAGGCCCUGGGAAUGUAGCUUCUUUCGGGGAGUGUUAUAGCCCUCGGUGCAAUGCGGCCAGCCGAGACCGAGGACCACGCGUAUGCUAGGAUGCUGGCGUAAUGGUUGUCAGCGACCCGUCUUGAAACACGGACCAAGGAGUCUAACAUCUAUGCGAGUGUUUGGGUGUCAAACCCAUACGCGGAAUGAAAGUGAACGGAGGUGAGAACCCAUUAGGGCGCAUCAUCGACCGAUCCAGAUGUCUUCGGAUGGAUUUGAGUAUGAGCAUAGCUGAUGGUACCCG
Molecule: ribosomal RNA, 709 nt
Filed under: Usnea baileyi
Lineage: Eukaryota; Fungi; Ascomycota; Lecanoromycetes; Lecanorales; Parmeliaceae
Description: partial large subunit ribosomal RNA
Rfam family: Eukaryotic large subunit ribosomal RNA
Source: RNAcentral